UACGGAGGGUGCAAGCGUUACCCGGAAUCACUGGGCGUAAAGCGCGUGUAGGCGGCAGACCAAGUCGGCGGUGAAAGCGCCCGGCUCAACUGGGCGAGGUCCGUGGAAACUGGUCAGCUGGAGGACGGUAGAGGCGAGUGGAAUUCCCGGUGUAGUGGUGAAAUGCGUAGAGAUCGGGAGGAACACCUGUGGCGAAGGCGGCUCGCUGGGCCGGUCCUGACGCUGAGACGCGAAGGCGUGGGGAGCGAACGGG
RNAcentral lists this ribosomal RNA (253 nucleotides) under uncultured bacterium. RNAcentral's name for it is "partial 16S ribosomal RNA". It matches the Rfam family "Bacterial small subunit ribosomal RNA", at positions 524 to 776 of the family's 1533-position model. The record is from RNAcentral.